This 429-nucleotide ribosomal RNA is filed under the name Bacillota bacterium. Its description in RNAcentral is "Firmicutes bacterium partial 16S ribosomal RNA". It matches the Rfam family "Bacterial small subunit ribosomal RNA", at positions 355 to 776 of the family's 1533-position model. Lineage: Bacteria; Bacillati; Bacillota. The record is from RNAcentral.
UGGGGAAUAUUGGACAAUGGGCGAAAGCCUGAUCCAGCGACGCCGCGUGGGUGAAGAAGGCCUGCGGGUUGUAAAGCCCUUUCGGUAGGGACGAAAGCUCUUGCCCUAAUACGGCAGGAGGUUGACUUAACCUACAUAAGAAGCACCGGCUAACUCUGUGCCAGCAGCCGCGGUAAUACAGAGGGUGCGAGCGUUAAUCGGAAUUACUGGGCGUAAAGCGCACGUAGUCGGCUUUGCAAGUCGGGUGUGAAAUCCCCGGGCUCAACCUGGGAACUGCAUUCGAGACUGCAUUGCUGGAGUAUGGGGGAGGGAAGCGGAAUUUCUGGUGUAGCAGUGAAAUGCGUAGAUAUCAGAAGGAACAUCAGUGGCGAAGGCGGCUUCCUGGACCAAUACUGACGAGCAGGUGCGAAAGCGUGGGGAGCAAACAGG